This 1033-nucleotide unclassified non-coding RNA is filed under the name Hevea brasiliensis (rubber tree). Lineage: Eukaryota; Viridiplantae; Streptophyta; Magnoliopsida; Malpighiales; Euphorbiaceae. The record is from RNAcentral.
GAACGUAAUAAAUUCAACAGAUCUCUACCUUAUAUCAUAAAAUAUUAAGAUUGACAGUUUUUUUUCACAAAGAUUAGCCAUAUGAUUGAGCUGCCAAUUCCAUCAAGCAGUGUUACAAUACAUGGUAGUUGUACUCAUAAAAAAUAACAGUGAACAUAUAUUUGUUUGUACCCUCCAUGGCUUCUCAGCCAUUAGCUUCACAGAUGUAUAUGUGAUGGACCCAAACAGCAAAGCAACAGAAGACAGAAGUUCAUGGGGAGGAGAAAGCGUCAUCAGGGUCCAGCCACCUCUGCUGGCUUUCUGAGAACAUGUUUCCAUGUUCUGAGCUGCUUACCAGAGCUUGAAAAACAUUUCGAACCUUAUUCAAGCUUUUAUGGUGACGGAGGCGUUUGAGGAUAACUUCUUUAUCCAAGGCCUUGCAAGAGGAAGCCUGUGAUGAUGAUGAUUUUAAUUGAAUCUGGGUGCUAAUAGGACCAAGCUGUGAUAGAUUUUCUUUGUCCUCUGUUGUGAGAGAUUGCUGAGACCGAGAAAUCACAAAUGCCAUUUUUCUGCAGGGAAAAUGAAGUGGGUAUUGAGAAUUGACGUAUAGGAGAGUGGCAAUGGCAGUGGCCGGGUCUCAUUUAUACAGAAGGGCGAGGUUUCAGCGGGAGCUUUAGUUUCGGUUUUGCUGUGUUAGUGGUUUGGUGGGCAAUCCAAAAUCAGUGGGCUUCUGAAAAUGUGCAUGUAUUUUGCGAGCUGUGGGUGAUUUAAGGUGACACAAUAAAGCUGCUUUAACUAAAAAUUUAAGUCCUGUUUCCAACUUAUAAUAUUUUAAAUGUUUAAAAAAUAAUUUAACUGUUUUUAAAAUUAUUAUAGCAAAAAAUUUAUCAAAUUUAUUUGAAAAUCAAAUUUAUAUUUUUUAAUAACGUUUUUUUAAUUAUUUAGAAGGAAAUUAUUCUGAAUUUCUAAGUUGUAGUAUAUGAAUCUUGACGUGACAAUUUCAUUUUUUUUUAAAUUUAUUUUGAGAUAGAAAUGCGCCAUUGAAAGAGGGAAA